AAUCUUCUCACUUUGAGAUGAUUGUGCAUCUAUACAUGAACAUGUGGAAGAAGGUCUAGAUGUUCCUAUAUAGUGAAAGCUGAUUCUCUCUGUAUUGUUGCAUUUGAUUUGACUAAAAUUUUCUCUUAUGCAAUAAAUGCGACUUACUCAAAUCAAAUGACCAAGAUAAUGUAAUGAUACUUUGUUAUUUGCAAAUUAUGCACCUUCUUUAUUCCCCUCACCUCUUAUUUAGAAUGCUUUAGCUUUACCAACCCCAACAAGGCAUCCCCUAAUAUUUGGUCAUUGACAAUAUUUUAUUUAUUUAUUUAUUUUUAUCCGUGCAGCUUUGAGAAUAAUCCUCGUCUGGAGGGUCCCGAGUUGCAGGGAUUGGCUAGUUAUGAUACAAACUGCUCAUAAAGAAAUGGGGUAUAGAUGCAGAAUUCGCGACUAUUUACUGUUGUUCUGAAUGAUGCUUUUCUUAAAUAUGUUAAAAAGGCAGGCAUAUCGUGCCUCAAGAAUACCUACUGCUAUAAGUUUUAACUCAUACUAGUUGCCAGUGUAGGUGGUCGUAUAACUUGUAUCACUAUGAGUGGUGAAAAACCUGUAAAAUUUUCACACUAUGAUCAAUUCAAACUUUAUUCCAUGUGUAAUUUCAAUAUCUAGUGUCAUAUUCUCUUUGUUGGCUACUAAAAGAACUUUGAAAAGUGGUAGUCAAGUCUGAAAACUUUGAUAACAAAUAAUCUCUGAAAUUCAAGUAUAAUCAUUUAUAUUAUGUUCAAGACUUGA
This 765-nucleotide long non-coding RNA is filed under the name Olea europaea subsp. europaea. Lineage: Eukaryota; Viridiplantae; Streptophyta; Magnoliopsida; Lamiales; Oleaceae. The record is from RNAcentral.